Molecule: microRNA, 24 nt
Filed under: Medicago truncatula (barrel medic)
Lineage: Eukaryota; Viridiplantae; Streptophyta; Magnoliopsida; Fabales; Fabaceae
Description: mtr-miR5290
Source: miRBase by way of RNAcentral
AAUUUGGAGAGAGAUAGACACAUA